This 421-nucleotide ribosomal RNA is filed under the name Colacogloea sp. RNAcentral's name for it is "LSU rRNA". It matches the Rfam family "Eukaryotic large subunit ribosomal RNA", at positions 135 to 568 of the family's 3401-position model. Lineage: Eukaryota; Fungi; Basidiomycota; Microbotryomycetes; Colacogloeaceae. The record is from RNAcentral.
UGUCCGAGUUGUAAUCUCGAGAAGUGUUUUCCGUGCUGGACCGCAUAUAAGUCUGUUGGAAUACAGCGUCAUAGUGGUGAGAACCCCGUACGUGAUGCGGAUGCCCAGUGCUUUGUGAUACACUUUCGAAGAGUCGAGUUGUUUGGGAAUGCAGCUCAAAUUGGGUGGUAAAUUCCAUCUAAAGCUAAAUAUUGGCGAGAGACCGAUAGCGAACAAGUACCGUGAGGGAAAGAUGAAAAGCACUUUGGAAAGAGAGUUAACAGUACGUGAAAUUGUUGGAAGGGAAACGCUUGAAGUCAGACUUGCGUAUUGGAGUUCAGCCGCAAGGCGUAUUCUUCAGUUUGCAGGCCAGCAUCAGUUUUUGGGGGUACAAAAGGGUGAGAGGAAUGUAGCAGUCUCGGCUGUGUUAUAGCCUUUCACU